RNAcentral lists this ribosomal RNA (533 nucleotides) under uncultured Pantoea sp. Its description in RNAcentral is "bacterial SSU rRNA". It matches the Rfam family "Bacterial small subunit ribosomal RNA", at positions 42 to 564 of the family's 1533-position model. The record is from RNAcentral. Lineage: Bacteria; Pseudomonadati; Pseudomonadota; Gammaproteobacteria; Enterobacterales; Erwiniaceae.
GCAGGCCUAACACAUGCAAGUCGGACGGUAGCACAGAGGAGCUUGCUCCUCGGGUGACGAGUGGCGGACGGGUGAGUAAUGUCUGGGGAUCUGCCCGAUAGAGGGGGAUAACCACUGGAAACGGUGGCUAAUACCGCAUAACGUCGCAAGACCAAAGAGGGGGACCUUCGGGCCUCUCACUAUCAGAUGAACCCAGAUGGGAUUAGCUAGUAGGCGGGGUAACGGCCCACCUAGGCGACGAUCCCUAGCUGGUCUGAGAGGAUGACCAGCCACACUGGAACUGAGACACGGUCCAGACUCCUACGGGAGGCAGCAGUGGGGAAUAUUGCACAAUGGGCGCAAGCCUGAUGCAGCCAUGCCGCGUGUAUGAAGAAGGCCUUCGGGUUGUAAAGUACUUUCAGCGGGGAGGAAGGCAGUGAGGUUAAUAACCUUACUGAUUGACGUUACCCGCAGAAGAAGCACCGGCUAACUCCGUGCCAGCAGCCGCGGUAAUACGGAGGGUGCAAGCGUUAAUCGGAAUUACUGGGCGUAAA